This 358-nucleotide small RNA is filed under the name Histoplasma ohiense. Its description in RNAcentral is "hypothetical lncRNA". The record is from RNAcentral. Lineage: Eukaryota; Fungi; Ascomycota; Eurotiomycetes; Onygenales; Ajellomycetaceae.
CUGGACACGCUUCCCUUACCCUGAGCUGAAGUAUGAAGGCAAUACAGGCUAUCUUAUCGAGUAUCUCCUGUUGAUGGGAAAUAGCUAGCAAGCAGGAGCCGAGGCGAAGCAAAAUUCUGUAGGAAAUUGUUCGGAAUCCACUCACAUAGGUUCCUGCAGUGACAUAUCAGGGUCUGAUUCAUUCGUUCAUUAUUUUUAUCUUUUAUCUUUUUUUUCUUUAAGAGAACGACUCCUUUAUCUGACCCAAUAGCUGAUGACACUGACUGCUCUCAAAUGGACUGUAUCCCUCAAAUAUUACAGCAACGAAAAAGAAAAGGGAAAUAAAAAAACAAAGGAGAGGAGAGGAUAGUAAACAAGC